UCCUGUCCCUCUCCCUUUUCUCUUUUCUCCCUGUCUCUGCACGUCUCUCUGUUCGUGGGUGUCUCUAUGCCUCAGGGUCCCUCUCUGCCUUUGAGUCCCCCUCUGCUCCCCACCCUCUCCCUUUCCCCUCUGUCUCUUUCUGUGUCUCUGUGUCUCUUUGUGUCUCUGUGUAUCUCUGUGCAUCUCUGGGCUUCUCCUUGUCUCGGUGUCCCCCUCUACUCCCUGCCCCUCUCCCCUCUCUCUGUCAUUGCGUCUCGGUUUCAGCCUAUCUCUGCAUAUCUCUGCCUCGCUCCAUCUCUGCGUGUCUCUGUGUCUCUGUGGGUCUCGGGCCUCUCCCUGCCUCCGUGUCCCCUGCGCUCCCCGCCCUCUCCCUCUCCCUCUCUCCCCCCUCGCUCUCUCGCUCGCGCUCUCUCUCUGAGCAUCCUUGGGCCCGGGGUUGCCAUGGGGACAAGGUGGGAGCCGGGGAUGGCGCGCGCCUGGGCUCGCGCCGGCAGCUCAGGCGAGGAGCAGCGGCCAGAGCAGCGCCAGCAGCAGGCAGCGAGCGGGCGCGGGAGCGGGAGCGGGAGCGGGGGUAGCGUUGGCGGCGGCGGCUCCUCCUCGGCCAUCCCCUCGGAGCCGUGCAGCUGACGCGCAUGGCGAAGACAGCGGCGCCUACCGAUGGGAGCAGCGGUUCUCGACUGGACCGGGUUGGUGGCCUGAAUGUAUUAGCUUCACUGCGUUUGCCCAAGAGGUCUGCCAGGCGCUGGGUCCAGAG
This is a long non-coding RNA of Lontra canadensis (Northern American river otter), 754 nucleotides long. RefSeq lists it as uncharacterized. Lineage: Eukaryota; Metazoa; Chordata; Mammalia; Carnivora; Mustelidae. The transcript has 3 exons. The record is from RefSeq and is a predicted model, not a curated record.